CCUCCCAUUGGAGAACAGAAAAUUUAAUGAGCUUUUAAUGGAAUGCAAUGCUCAGAGUAGUAAAUUAUUUGUUAGUUGACGAUGCAAUCAGCAUGCUGAUUAAGGUUGCUUGGUUUUUUGCUAAACAUUAACUGAAUGAAAACGGGUAGUCCUUGUUCUGCUUGGGGGGCUUUAAGGAAGCAAAUGGACUUUCAGAACAGAGAUUGUCAAUAAAGAUAAAGACCAACAUAUUAUAUCAACACUUUCUCUAAAACAAUGAAAAGUGGCAAGAACAAAUUUUACAGAAUUCUGUUUCAAAAAGUUCAUAAUCUUCACAUCUUCUGGGAUGCAGUACAUGGAGUGCAAAGAGCUCAAACAUUGGAAUAUGAGAGAACUGAAGUCAAACUCUGGAAUACACAUCUGGAGCUCUGAAUGUGUGCUGAGAACGUGUGCAUGACACAGAACACAUUGGAUCCCACUGGGGGAAGGUUCCAUGACAGCUGAGUUUCUUGAUGCAAAGCUGCUAAUAAUCUAUCCCCUCAAAUCAAUGAGGCUGGUACUACCCUGAAGCACUGAGAGAUGUCAUGCCAAUUUACACAAAUCUUUAUUGUUGAAACUCUUCCAUAAUGACAUCUUUAUUCAUGGGAAAAUACAAAAUAUAAAUUUCAACUAUAUGAUAUUGUUUAUGUUCAUCAGAAAUGCUAUUUGUCUUUACAAAGUCUGGUUUCAAUAAACUGUAUGUAAUGGAUAUUAAAUAAACAUGAAAUUUUACACAUUCAUAAUAUUUUGUUUCUUGUUAUGAUUUUGAUGAACUACACUUUCAAACACUGUCACUUCAUCCUUAUUUACAAACAAAAUGUUUGCUUAUAGCUGAGUGAUGUAGUGACUUGCUUUAUUUUAAGAUAAGUCAACUUUUCUAUUCAAUGUUUAAUGUGAAACUGACUCAAAAAAUGUUCUUAUAGACAACAUUUACAUUUCUUUCUGUACAACAUAUAUUAUACUAUUUUAACUUAAUUCUGUGAGCUACAUAAACCAAAAACAUUCUAAUUCUGUUUUUAAUGUAUUUUUUAAGAUAAAUAAUUUAUAAUGCACUAAUAAAACUAAGGAGCUAUUAUUAAAACAUAUUAUAUGACCUAGUAAAAUUGAUAUAUGGAAAUUGACUCUCUUAAAAGUAAUUUUAUGAAAUUAUUUUGUAUAAAAUGGACUUUCUUAUAUGAAUUUUUGACAAGUAUAAAACAAAAAGAACCUGAAAUCUCUCUCUCCAUCCUUCUGCACAUUGAAGAGAAGUAAUAGAAUGCUUUCUAACUCUAUGAUAUUGGGGUUUCCUAGUAAAAGAAACCAGAUGAAUAGUAGCCAUUUUAGUUGUGCAUAUCAGCAUCUAGC
This is a long non-coding RNA of Pipistrellus kuhlii (Kuhl's pipistrelle), 1362 nucleotides long. RefSeq lists it as uncharacterized. The record is from RefSeq and is a predicted model, not a curated record. The transcript has 4 exons. NCBI's taxonomy places the organism in Eukaryota, Metazoa, Chordata, Mammalia, Chiroptera, Vespertilionidae.